UCACUCGAAGGCGUGAAAUUCACAGUGGCUAAACGGAGAGAUAGCAGAAAAUUUCGUUCUCUGUAUCAAGAUGAAUGCCAAAACUUGGAUUACCGUACCUCGAGGACGAUAAACGAAGACAUGUAGUUCAUCUGUUGGCGCCUUUGUUGAGUUUCAGGGGGAUGGACAUAUUUUUUAUGAGCUGUGAUUCGUGAAAAACUGCCAAACUGGGGUGUGGAAAGUCCAAGGUUGACUCGCCAGUCCAUAGCAGUAGUAGUAGUGGUAGUAAUAAAGGCAGCAGCAAUAUGGCGGGUCCCAACCUUACUGUGCCGCAGUUUCCUGCGGCAAAUUCCCAACAACGAAUUUCACCGUCCCCGAGUGCAGGUCGCAACAAGGUGGCGCUGAAGCCUGGCAGGUCGCUGAUGGACUGGAUCCGAUUAGGGCGAAGCGGCCAGGACUUGACCGGAGUUGGCGGGAAGGUCUUGGAGGUGUCGUCGGAGGAACUGGCCAAACACAGCAGGCCUGAAGACUCCUGGAUUGCUCUCAGAGGAAAGGUGUAUAACAUCACUCCAUACCUGGAGUUUCAUCCUGGUGGAAUUGAUGAACUGAUGAGGGGAGCCGGGAAGGACGGGACACAACUCUUUGACGAGGUGCAUAAAUGGGUGAAUGCAGAGUCCAUGUUGGAGAAGUGUUUUGUGGGACGCGUCAAAGUGGAACUACCCACAUCAAGGCGAGGAAGUGCAACAUCCCGGGGCAGUACCAGGUCCAACACUCUCAGCCCUAAUGGAUCCAUUAACCCAUUAAACCUCAAGCCACCAUCAGGACCUCAGCCCCCAAGACAUGACUGGUUCCAGAAUGCCAAGUCUGUAACCAUUGUUGUCUACACAAAAUGGCUGGCCAUGAAAGAUGAAUUUGUCACCAUCGACUUAAAUGACAGGAAGCUUAAAAUCAACAUAUUCCUUGAAACUCACACCUAUCAGAUGCAUAUAGAACUUGAAAAAUCCAUCAUACCAGACUAUAACGUUAAGGUACACAAGGACAAUGGGAAGGUAGAGAUCAUUAUGCCAAAGUCGGUGACUGACGAGCAGUGGCAGACAUUGGGGACCAAUCAGAGUGACCAUGGCACCCUGGUAAAGACAGCAGAGAGAGAAGUGUCUUACCGCCAGUGCACGAUUCAGUCUAUACAAGAAGUUAGCCCUGACACGAAGCUGUUAUGUGUGCAGCUACCAGAAGGGACACGGAUGUGUGUGCCCCUCGGAUACCAUGUACAUAUCAAACAUAAUAUUUCAGGGAUGGAACUAGCCCGAAGUUACACUGUAGUUUUUCCUUCUUUGAGAUCCAGUGAGCAAGACAUCCUUGUAGAACAAGGCCGUGUGUUGUACCUGAUGAUAAAGAUCUAUCCAGACGGUGCACUUACACCCUGGAUUGGUGGUCUGUCUGUUGGGUCAUCUCUAGAGGUGAGUGAUAUUGAUGGGAAUUUCCAGUCCACCCAGCUCGAGAAGAGCACUCAGCUAAUCCUGAUGGCAGCAGGCACGGGAUUCACCCCCAUGGUGAGGCUGUUGUACCAGACCCUGGUGGUGGAGCAAGACUCAAAGAGACAUGUAAAACUGAUGUUCUUCAACAAGACGAAAAAGGACAUUCUAUGGAAGGACCAACUAGAUGAACUAGUAGCCAAGAAUGACAGCAGGUUGUCUGUGACGUAUGUCCUGUCUGAGCCCGACUCGGAGUGGGAGGGACCCAAGGGGAGGGUGCGGGAGGAACUCAUGAAGGAGGAGAUGCCCACAAUGGACGACGGAACCAAUCUGCUGGUGUGUGCGUGUGGACCCACACCAUUUACUAAAGAAGUGGUCAGGUUAGCCAAGACUAUGGGAUGCAAAGAUGAACAGCUUCAUGCUUUUCUAGGCUGAGCUACCUCUCUGUCAUGUCACUAGUACAUACUGCUAAAGAUGUCCUGAAAAUGAUCCUCAGAUUUUCCUGUGUGGCUUCAAAUAAAUGUAGGACUCACAGAGUCGUCUUAAUAAAAAGAAUGAACUUUCGCUGUAACAGAUCCUUUGUAAUCCCAAUGAAAUUAAGGAUGUUUGGAAUCCCUGUCUAAGGCCCAAGCAAGUCACUGGCCAGAGAUAUCUGCUAGAUACCAGUAGACGGUUGUCUGGACGUAUUUUCAGAAACUCCAUCUCCUUGAAAGAUCAUGAUAUUCAUCAACAUUUGUGGCUUAAACCUAUCCACAACCUUGUUGUCUCUUGAGGAAGCUGAUUCCAUAGAAGAAAUUAAUCCUAACCAGAUACCUGUGAAAAACACUUGUUAUUUCAUUUCUCCAAAUCCAGAACUUCAUUGAGAUGCCUGAACAGGCAUCAGUACCUCUAUAAAGAAGGAUAUUGCCAACAAACUUUCUGCAUGAUGUCAUACAGAGACUCUCAAUGUGUCCCCUGACAGACUCCACAUCCUCUGAUGUACAACCAAAAGAGUGAAAGAAGAAUUUCAAUUGGCAUCUCCAACGAACUUUUGUACAUUGUCCUAGAUGACCUCUGUUAGUGUCAUCAGAAAAUCCUGAAGCGUUUCCAGACCCUUUUUCUUCUUGCAUUUUCCGCUUUGUUCCCAUAACUUUGUUGUAAAAAACAUCUUCUCUGGAAUGCUGUUUCCCGAAGUCUAGAAGGGUUUCAGAAAAAUGGUAACAGUCAAAUGGUGGUACCGUUUACUCAUGCUGGUUUGAUCUUUGAGGAUACGACAACCACAUACAACCUUUCAACAUGUGUCGAACAACUUUCUUAUUAAUAUGUGACAGUUUGGUAUAGCUGUUGUAUAUCAUUUUGAAUAUUUAUCAACAUUUUCAUAUUUUGUACUAUUUGUACCAAUACAAGGGUACAUGAUGUACCUUGCCCCUGCUAGAUGUCUGACUUUGUCCUACUCUACUGUGAUAACUGCACUAUGAUGUCAUCCUGUUGUUUUCUUGUACCAACUCUGGCACACUUGUUUGCUGUAGGCCCAAACUCGUUAGCCUGUUUUUCCAAGAAAGAAUGACCUUGUCAGAUGUUUUUGUCCCUUUUGGGAAAUGUGUCUGACCUUGGCACCGCCAUCUGCUUGGGAUCUGCUGACCCUAAGCUGAACUCACAUAUGUAUCCCGGUAGAGUAACACCUCACCAUUCCCAGUAAAGAGAGCAUUGUGAAAACAGGUGCCCCGAAGAAUGACCUAUUAAAGAGCAAAAGAACCCAAAGAUUGACCUAUUUUAGAGCCAAAAAUCCCAAAGUAUGACCUGUUUCAGAGCCAAAAAACCCUCUAGUUAUUAAUGAACCCACAGAAGCUGCAGUUUCAGACACUGUGCCUACCAUUUGCUGGGCUGGUUUCUUUAUCAUGCAAUUAGAACUGAUUCUGAAUUUACAGUUCAAAUUCUAGGUAAUACCUCUCCAUCGCUUGAUGAAGUCACUAUUUCAUGUGUGUCUUUCUUUUUCUCGAGAACAGUUGCCCCUGUUAUAGGACCUUUCAUAGUCCUCUAAAUUAUUACUUUGUUGACAUCAGAACCACCCUCAUCAUUUUUCUCAGAAGGUGGUACUUUACCUCAUCAGUUAAGUUCAGAGUGACAUCACCCGAUAUCUGGCAAACUGUUUUUUAACCCCUUGACUAAUUUUAAAGACAGGUGCAAAACCUCAUUAUCGUGGUUCUUAUUGGGAAUGGUUGCACUCUGAUUAUAAUUACCCACCUUCUGCUUUAUUUUUUAUAAGGGAAACAGAGUUAGCUCCCUUCUCAAACCACCACUAAUGCUGUUUUGCCAAGACCAGUGCGGAUGUGACAUUACACAGAGCUCCAAUCACUGUUCCCCCUGCAUCAAGUACUGUGAAACCUGGUUAGCUUCAACUUUAUUAAUUAUCCUUUAGACGAUAUACGGUGAACACCUGUUGGUCCAGAUGCUACUGAUCCCAGUAAAAUCGUCCAGAUUAACACUGUUCCAGGUAAAUUAACCUUGGGUAUAUUGUGAUGUUCCGUUAAUUGUAUACACACGUUGCCAAUGGUAAUUGUGUGGAUUACAGGGUGUCUGGACUGGUCGGGUCACAGCAGAAUCCUGGUAUAAGUCUUAUAUGGACUCAAUGCAGGUUCCUGGUCCCAGCAGAAUCCUGGUAUAAAGUCUUAUAUGGAUUCACUGCAGGUUCCUGGUCCCAGCAGAAUCCUGGUAUAAAGUCUUAUAUGGACUCACUGCAGAUUCCUGGUCCCAGCAGAAUCCUGGUAUAAAGUCUUAUAUGGACUCACUGCAGAUUCCUGGUCCCAGCAGAAUCCUGGUAUAAGUCUUAUAUGGACUCAAUGCAGGUUCCUGGUCCCAGCAGAAUCCUGGUAUAAAGUCUUAUAUGGAUUCACUGCAGGUUCCUGGUCCCAGCAGAAUCCUGGUAUAAAGUCUUAUAUGGACUCACUGCAGAUUCCUGGUCCCAGCAGAAUCCUGGUAUAAAGUCUUAUAUGGACUCACUGCAGAUUCCUGGUCCCAGCAGAAUCCUGGUAUAAGUCUUAUAUGGACUCAAUGCAGGUUCCUGGUCCCAGCAGAAUCCUGGUAUAAAGUCUUAUAUGGAUUCACUGCAGGUUCCUGGUCCCAGCAGAAUCCUGGUAUAAAGUCUUAUAUGGACUCACUGCAGAUUCCUGGUCCCAGCAGAAUCCUGGUAUAAAGUCUUAUAUGGACUCACUGCAGGUUCCUGGUCCCAGCAGAAUCCUGGUAUAAAGUCUUAUAUGGACUCACUGCAGGCUUCCAACCAUAGGAUAACAUGACAUACAUAGUUUAUGUCCUUAAGGUGUUUAUGUUGUGAAGGUUAAUCUUUAUUAACAUCAAAUGUUGAUUUUUCAGCAGACCAAUAUUACCAUAAGUUUAAUUGCAGUUAUUGUCAUUAAGUCGUUAUUAAAAAGUUGUUAGAAACUGCUUCCUAAAUUACAGUUACAGUAAAAUACUCACUUUGAACCUUUAUAAAAAUCUUCCAAGUUCUGUUCCAAAAUGCAAACUUUAUGCAAGGGAAGUAACUCUUUCAGUAAUAGCACUCUCAGAAUGCCCGCCAUGUCAAGACACGGAAUAAGUGACCUCCCUUUGACAUAUCUCCAGCUUGUCACAAUGAGAAUGUCCGUCCUUCACAUUUCCAUUCAAGAUCUCAUAAACCAUUAUUGCUAUUUUCAUGAAAUGUUUUGUACAAGGCAUUUUCUCAUGGAACACCGAUGAAUAACCCUUUUAGCAUGCUUGUGGUCCUUUCUGAAGCACAACUAAAAAAACAUCCAAGUUUUUUCAUGACACUUGCACAGCAGUGUGUGAAAUAGCUGUCUGCCCACUAGCUUGUGGCUA
Molecule: unclassified non-coding RNA, 5282 nt
Filed under: Haliotis rufescens (red abalone)
Lineage: Eukaryota; Metazoa; Mollusca; Gastropoda; Lepetellida; Haliotidae
Description: cytochrome b5 reductase 4-like, transcript variant X4
Source: RNAcentral